UCAAAGAAUAUGAAGUUCACUUAACUUUUCUUGCAUAAUUAUUAUUUAUUUUCCAGACUGGUUAGAUCAAUUUGCCUUUGAUAUAUUAAAAUAUAGAAUUUUUUUCUUCACAUGACCAGUGACUUUUCCCAACAUUUCUGAUUUCAUAAAUGUUAAAUGAUAUUGAAGUUAGCCUUUAUUUUUGGUCACAGCAGUUUCUGAGUAUAUUGAUUAAGAAGCUAAGCUUUAGGAGCAUCCAGGUGUUCAAAUAUAAAUCCCCUAAUCACUGGUGAAAAUGUUAUGUACUAGGAGAUGAUUAUACUACUAAUAAUUUCUAUAACAAGGUUGCUAAUAUAAGGAAAGCUAUCCUCAUUUCACAGGUGGGGAAACUGAGAGAGUAAGUAACAUUUCAUGACAUAUUCAAAGUCAGAUAGCUGGUAAACAGAGUUAGGACUCUAAUUUGGCUCUCUGCUUCACCAAGCUGCCAAUGAUGAUAAGUACAUGAUGGCAGAGUAAGACACUUAGACAAGGAAAAACCAGAAUAAGAACCAGUCACUGUCUAGAAGGCUGCUCCCUUUACAAUUAGGGGAAAGGCUUCAAGGAAUGUACUAGCAACUGGCCAUGCUUCUUGCAGGCUGCUAUUCAAAUAAGGGUGGGGUCAAGCUACAAAAUAUACACUAGCUGGAAAUCCUGGAAGCUGAGUCAGGGAACUGUGCCUGGACACUGGGAACAGACAAACACAAAACAAGCCAUCCCAUCCAGCAGUCCCUGUGGCACAGCCAGGAUAGUGAAUUGGAAUAGGCUGCAAUCUGUGAUGCCAAAAAUGAUUCUUUUACCCUGCUGAAUAAAACUGACCUCAGUAUUCAUGAAGCUCUUCUGGAUUUUUUGGACAUAGACAACGGAAAUAGAGCAGCAGUGAGUUGUGGGAUCUCGGAAGCAGAUGAACCACUGGCCAAUAAAAGAGCACACGCAGUGAGGAAAGAUAAAAGUGUUUUCCAUUAAUUCACAUGCUGCAGAACAAAGCAAGAAAGCUAAUGAGAUCAUAUUGAUACCAAGAAAUCCUGUACUUCAGAAACCAUGGAAACCAUGGUAAUGGGGAUGAUUCUGACUUUAUUUGCUAUUAUAUUAGUUACCUUUUGUAUUCUCUGCUGGUCUAGCUACAACAAAACCCCAUGGAAUCAACACCAAGAGAGUAUCCCAAACUUUACUUUGGCCACUUUCCACAGGGAAGCUUCUCUUAUUGUAAGACCUACUGGUCAGCAUUCUAAUUCCCAUUCAUCCCCCAACCAAAGGAAUUUCUUUUCCUUUAUGUGACAUCUUAUCCAGGAUUAUUCAGAAUUCAUCUGUAUCCCUUCUGAUGUCUAUGGAACAGCCAAUUGUCAUAAAGGAGGAGACCCUGGAGCUGAAAACAGAGUCCCUACUUUGGAGGACAUUAUGGAAUUAUCAGAUGGAUUGUACUUGGCUAGACUUCUCCAUUAAUCACAACAAUUGUCCUAUAUAUUGUUAAGAGUUUUGAACACUGACAUUUUUUCCCUAAUAUUACAAGAUUAAGUGAUAAUGGAAGCUAAACAAGAGUUUACUUAUUUUCUAGGAGAGAUGGAUUCAACUCAAUCCAAUUCCACAUUUAUUAAAUGUUUAUUCAACUGGGAAAAACUCUAGUGAUUAUAUCUUUCUUCAAUACAGCAAGAAAAGAGAUUCUGAUUUUUUUUAAAUCAAAAGAGUUCCUGGAAGUAUGUUCUGAAAACCAGGCAGAUUGGGCCACCUCAGUUUUAUAACAUGAUGGAGUCACCAGUCUAGAAAGAAUUGUAUGGCCCCUCCCUGUCCUUUGAAAGCAACUAUAUUAGAGAAAAUGCAUUCCAGAAUUGCAGAGAAAGUCUUAUGCAGAUAUAUAGAGGCAGAAAUGGACUGUUGUAUGAAGGAAAGAGUUAUCUGCUCAGUUUGAAGAGAAUUGAAGACUAUUACUGGGAAUAAUAUGAAGUGAAUAGGAAGGUAGGUGGGAGGCUAAUGGAGAAAGAUUUUAAACACCAAGUUCAGAACUUUGCUUUUUUUUUCCCCUAGAGUCAGUAGCGACUCACAGAAGGAUAUUGAGGCUGGGACAAGGCAUGGUUAUACUGGUGUUUACUAUUUGGCAGCUGUAUGAUGGAGAAGAGUAUAGAGCUGGAGUUCUUAACCUGAGGACUAUGAACUUGUUUUUAAAGAUAUUUUUAUAACUUAAUUUCCAUGUAGCUGGGAGUGUUUUUGCUUUAAAUAUGAUUAUAUUAAUUUAUAUUCCUCGUGUAGAAAAAUUCUUUCAUUCCUGGAAUAAAUCCAACUUUGAAUGAUACUUUAAAAA
Long non-coding RNA from Antechinus flavipes (yellow-footed antechinus), 2311 nucleotides. RefSeq lists it as uncharacterized. The transcript is spliced from 2 exons. The record is from RefSeq and is a predicted model, not a curated record. Lineage: Eukaryota; Metazoa; Chordata; Mammalia; Dasyuromorphia; Dasyuridae.